CUUCCUCUCAAAUUCAGGGGAAGAACUGCAAAAAUAUUAAAAAAAAAAACCAAAACCAAACAACCCAACCCCAAAACCUUUUUGGGUUUUGAAAGCUUUUUCCUACCCUGUUCCAGAAGGGGCCAUUAAUUGUAGAGAAUUUCAAUUGCAGAAAGUCUGACUAUUGAGUCAAAGAGUCUUUUUGAGCCUAACCAGAUGUGUGAGGCUUUUGUAAGUCACUCUCAACAUCACAGCAGCUCAAUAUAGUUAGCAUUGCUCAGAAUUUUCAUUGCCAGUGGCAGUAAAUAUGUCUGUAUGCAUUUCAUUGUAGAGACCCCUGCAAGCAUCCAGGAACCAAAACUUUCCCUCCACACCCCAGCCACCGAAAUGAGAUUAUGCACUGAUUGCAUAAUUACUGUAUAACAAGGUUUGCUCAGCCCCUCCGUGCACAAUGCCUGUUUUCAUAGCAUUUAAUAGGAGAGACAUAAUAGGCACCAGCUUGAAUAGCCACAUGCCAACGAGGCAUUGCAUUUCCCAAAGCAGCUUGAGUCUGCAAAAUCUGGUCCAGCUGCUCAGAACACAGAAGGGUGACAAGCGAGUGACUCCCAGCCUGUGUUGGGGCAGGAUUUGGAAUGUGCACGGGAAUUUGGAAUGUGUCCCUUCCCCAGACUGAGGUGGGCUGGCUGCCUUGUAGCACUGGCUGGGUUGUUUCUUCAGGCUACCACAAGCCAGCUACAUUAACGCUGUGGCCUUCACAUGUGUUUUUCCUGCACCAGCAUUUGCAAAUCUGGACUGAUAAUGCUCUCUCUAAUUUUGCUCCGUCUGCUGCUGCUCUGGUCUUUCCUCUUUGCUCUGAGUGAAUGAUUUAAAAUGGCUCAAAUCCCACACAAGGCUUGUUUUUGUAAUGAGUUAGGCAGCAAAUUUGCUCAUGUAUUCAGCCCUGGCUUCAUCCUGAGUGGUAUGGAUCUGGAGCAGCCCAUAAACAGCAAUUUGCUCAUCUUUUAAGCUCUAUUGUUUAGGCAAUGGAUUUUACUUGGAUGGUUGAAGGCCAGCCCUCUCCUCGCACAAAAUGUUUUCUCUGCUCCAACAAUAACUACAACCCUUUCUUUCUGCUUUGCAUUUAUUUGCAAUUAAAAUAAAUGGACCAAAUGCUACCAGAUGAAAUGAGCACCACAUUCCUUGUUGACUCACCCACAGCUCCAGCAGGUCCCCUGGCCCCGAGGUCGCUCCUUGUCCUCUCCACUCAUUUUAUAUCGCUGAUGUCUUGGCUUUCCUUUCCUAAAACACAAAUACUUCAGGGACUUAGUGGGUCUUUUCUCAGCCUGUCUCUGGAAGGGGCACGUUGAUGGAGCACAGUAGUUACAGCAGCAUUCUGGACACACAGGUUUAUUCUGGGGAACGUGAAGGAGCAGAGCUGGGACCUGUCUCCCUGUGACAGUAGAGCUGUCCAUAAGUGUCUGCCUGUUCAAAGUGAGUGGCAAAGAAAAGAUUAUGGGCCUGAGCUGAUUGAAGGUAAUUCUUUUAAAGGUUAGGUUGAAACCUUUAGGUUGAAACGUGCUGUCUGGGGAAAAAAAAAAAAAAAAAAAAAAAGUGAAGCAUUUUGAGAAAUUUUCAGGCUCUUUAGUAUCAGACAUAUACACUUUGGGGAAAGAGGUUUUCCUGUUCUCAUCCUUUCAUUAUCCACCAUCUCCUCCAGCUCAUGGCUCGAAGUCGCUCAGAUCACACUCCUUGGUUGGCCAUCGUGCAGUGCUGUGAUUUGUCUCUCUGGUUUGGGAAGUGCCCAGAACAGAUUCUGCCCCCAGCACCAGCUGGGCUGGCAGUGCAGCAAGAGAGUCAGGACAGGACAAACUCAGGGCAGUACACACAUGCCUGUGCCAUGCUGGAGAAAUCCACCUUCCUCACUAUUUUCUGCUGGUGAUAUAACCAGCAGAAAGCUUUUUGGGGAAAGGCUUUCUAAGUCUCAAGUGUGCUAAGGAAGGCACUUAGGCUGUUGGGAAGGUAAUGCCCCUGUUAAAGUCCUUCACCCUUUCUUACUCUGCUCACUCACUGCCAGAAAUUGAUUAGCAGCUUUCAUGGAAAGGCUGGCAAAGGGAGCUUUCCUGGUGUAGCUUUAUGAGCAAUGCCAGAACCCUCAGCUGCACUGAAACACUUUGAAAUGGAGAGCAGCGGAGACAGACCUGGGAUGGAGAGCAGUGGAGAUGGAUCUGGGAUGGAGAGCCCUGGAGAUGGAUCUGGGAUGGAGAGCCCUGGAAGCACAGACAGUCAGCAAAUAUGUGGGGCAGGAGAGGAAAUGCCAAUGAUUCCUGGGCAGACCUUCACUCCUGCCAAAUAUGCCCUUGGGCCCUUCAUAUCCCCAGAGAGGAAAUAUUUUUAAAGUUUUUGCUAGACUUUACAAAGAAAAUCAGGUUUUUAGGGUCCUUCUAGAGGGAUGUACUGAGCAGGAGAGGAGUGUGGCCCUUUAGGUUGGUCUCUGUCCCACUGGGGUGCUGGCAUGAUGCAUUGCCAGGUCAGCCUAAUCCCAAACCCGCCGAAUGCUCCAGGCGAGAGUGGUCACGGUGUUUUCAAUCCAUCUGUUUUUAUCAAAGCACAUGGGUGGCUUUGAGCAUGGAUGCAUUUGGCACCCAGGGGUACCAACCCCGUGACUGCUCCCAGCCCAUGCACAGCCCAUGCCCCAGCCACGGUGAGAGGGCAGGGGAAAAGCCACAGCGAGACAAGGAGCUGCUGCACAGAAAAUGGACAUUUUGACAGGCUCCCAUCUCAUAUUAGAAGUGUUUUGAUUUCGUUUCCUCUGCAGAACAUAAACAGAUUUUGAAACCUCAGAAGUUGCCAUGAGACAAAACCCGCUGUUUCCUGGCCAGCUCUAAUUGUGGUUUGAGACCAGCCCUUGCCUAUUGAAGUCAGAAGUUACACAAGGGAGGAUCCUGGCUCAGCACAGAUUUGUGUGGAGAAAUGUGAUUUGUCACUAUCUCUUUAAGCAGAGUUAACUCUUCAGUUAAAGAAUUUUUUUGUGUUUGUCUCUCUCUACUACCAGCAAAUACCUGCAAAAAGUGUCCUACAGGCAGUGUGAGAAUGGGAAGGGCUGAUGUGAAUCUGGCAUGUGAUGUAAGCAUGGCAAUGCCCUGCUUUUAUUCCCUGGAGUGCUGGGAUCUGAGUGCAGCCAUGGGGCAACACUCCUCGUGCCCCCCCAAAAACUGAGCUGAGCCUGAAGCAACAUCAUUGCCUUCCUCAUGUGGGAAGGGUGCUUCCUUCUCCCUGUCCUCUAAAUCCACAGCCUGAGACUUUUAGAGUUGUCUUGGAGAGUUUAAUGAAGAAGGGAAAAAAAAAAAAAAAAAAAAAAAAGGAAGAAAUGAGCCACUCAAUUCCUGCAGACAGCUUUGAAAAUAUCAACCUUGACAGCUUUGAAAAUAUCAGCCUCGUAUUUCUGGGCAGCUCAGGAGCUCAGGAGUGCUGACAAAGUGGCCAGAAUUAGGGAAGAGCAAGAAAAAUGGUGAAGUGCUUGGGUAGAAGGGCUUGGCCACGGUGGGAGGAGGCACUGAGAGUUGCAUGACUGCAUUGGAAGAGGAAAAUAUCCAAGGGGCAAGAGGGGGGUUGGACAGAGGUGGUUGACGUUGAGACAAAUAAAAGCCAACAGUGGCAGCACACCAGGAAACCUUUCCUCAGUCUGAACUUCAACCCAUUGUGAAACCUCCCCUCUGGGGAAAUGCUGGAAACCCCCGAGGUCAUGUCAACAACAGUGGGGCUGGCUGGAGCCACAGGAGGAAAUAGAGCUCUGGAGAGAGCCGGUGUACCUGGGCUCUUGUGAUUUAUCUGCUCACAUCAAAGCAACCCGUCCUGCAGGGCUCAGUGCAGGCAGGGACCUGACUGGCAGCCAGGCUUGGCAGAGCAGGGCUGGGAAAAGCCAAUUUUGCAACUGGUUGGUUGAGUUACAACAGGAGUGCACAGACCCACUGUCUGUACAGGCACUAAAUCUGCAGGCCAGUGUUUUUCUUUAGGAUCAGGGUUUCAUCUAAGAGAAAAUCCUAAUUUUACUGUCUGGUACCAAACAAGUUGACAGCACUGCCCAGGAUUUAUAAAUAUAGGACUUCUUUCAAAAUAAUCAGCGCUGCUCUUGACCUGAAUUCAGGCUGUUAGGUUUUUCAUCCCCUCUCAUGACAAUUUUAUUUUGCCACUACACAGAUUUUUCUGCAAUGACUAAUUUUGAGGAUGGUAAGCUCACUGCUGCAAAACAGCAUCAAAAAUGUGUGGUUAUCAGGAGCAAUGGGUGCCAAAGGCACAAAUCUUACAGCUGUGUGAGGGGAAGCGACAACAGUCUCUGAAUACAGAAUUAUUUGCAUCCCAUCUUUGUCCUAGUGCCUCUGUAAAAGAAAAACAAUCCUUUUAUUUUUUUUUAAUGUCUAAGGAAUAACAUCAUAAACCAAAAAAUCCCUGCAAGUUACUGUUAAAUUUCCUUUGUGGUGUCUGUAGCAAUCCCUUAAAGGGUCAGCUCUGAGCAUUUCUUAAUUUUGCAAGGAUAACACAGGAAACGACUGCAACUGCGUUGAUGACCAGGAGAAGCAGAAGUGGCCAGAAAACCAGAGAAUCAUGGAAUAACCUGAGAUGGAAGGGAUCCACAAAGAUCACUGAGUCCAGCUGCUGGCACUGCACAGGACAACCCCAGGAAUCACACCAUGUGCCUGAGAGUAUUGUCCAAACGCUUUUUGAACUCUGGAAGGACUGAAGAUGUGACCACAUCCCUGGGGAGCCUGUUCCAGUGCUCAACCACCUUCUGGACAAACGGGGAUGAUUUCAGCCUGGGACUGAAGCAGGAGGGAGCAGAUUUCUGCUCCAGUGCUUAAAUUCCUAAAACCGGGCCUGUGUGUCCUGGAAGCAGAAGGAUGGUCUGAUCAUGAUGCAUGGACACAUAAAGGAAUGUCAUGAAACCAGACAGCACUGGACUGGCUCCACAUGCUGCUCUCAGUUUCUUCCCCAAGUCAGUAGGCGAGUGGCCAUAUCUCCAGCCGGAGGUCAGACUGACCCUGGGAAACGUAGACAAUGCAGCUCACCCUGUUUGUAAACUGAGUCCAACACCAGGAGCUGUAAGAUGAGGUGGCCCAAGCCAGAAACCUCAACCCCAUGACCUGACUUGGUCAGCCCUCCAUGACCCUGGCACAACUAAACCCUACACUUUAUCAUGAAACAGCAGAUCCUGUGUCCUUUUGUGGUCAUCCCAAUCAAGGUCAAACUGGCACAAGCGGGUUAAUGCUGGGACUCAGUGAAAAACUUCUGUUUGUUGAGCUGAGUGAGAGCCUGAAGAUGCUGCAAGGAGGAGAGCCAGGCUGACACAGAGCAAGGAAAAACUAAUGGCUUUUAGUAUUUCUCAUUUAUUUUGCCCAGUUACUUGGAACACCUUCUUUGAGGAUUUUUUCCCCCCUUUUUGCUUCACGGCAAUUACCUCUGAUUGUUUCAAACUAUUAGCAUUCAGAAAUAAAGCACCAUUAUCUCUUUCCAAUAUUUUUCGCGGGUUUUUGAUUUCAAAUCCAUCCAAUAAACCCAACCUGAAUUAAUGAGCCUGCCUAGGCAGUUUUUCGAUAAAGGCAAGGAGACAUCCCUGCUUUUGCUGCUGCUUGUCAAUGCCCACCAGUCACCUCAUGCUGCU
Long non-coding RNA from Prinia subflava (tawny-flanked prinia), 5614 nucleotides. RefSeq lists it as uncharacterized. NCBI's taxonomy places the organism in Eukaryota, Metazoa, Chordata, Aves, Passeriformes, Cisticolidae. The record is from RefSeq and is a predicted model, not a curated record. The transcript has 3 exons.